GCGGUAGGCUUAAACAUGCAAGUCGUGCGAGAAAGUAUCUUCGGAUAUGAGUAGAGCGGCGGACGGGUGAGUAACGCGUAGGAAUCUACCUAGUAGAAGGGGAUAGCCCGGGGAAACUCGGAUUAAUACCGUAUACCUCCUUUGGGAGAAAGAGGGCCUCUCUUGAUGCUCUCGCUAUUAGAUGAGCCUGCGUAAGAUUAGCUUGUUGGUAAGGUAAUGGCUUACCAAGGCUUCGAUCUUUAGCUGGUCUGAGAGGACGAUCAGCCACAUUGGGACUGAGACACGGCCCAGACUCCUACGGGAGGCAGCAGUGGGGAAUAUUGGACAAUGGGCGCAAGCCUGAUCCAGCCAUACCGCGUGUGUGAAGAAGGCCUUCGGGUUGUAAAGCACUUUAAGCAGGGAGAAAAAGCUAUAAGUUAAUACCUUAUAGCCGUGAUGUUACCUGCAGAAUAAGCACCGGCUAAU
Molecule: ribosomal RNA, 465 nt
Filed under: uncultured Pseudomonadota bacterium
Lineage: Bacteria; Pseudomonadati; Pseudomonadota
Description: bacterial SSU rRNA
Rfam family: Bacterial small subunit ribosomal RNA
Source: RNAcentral